CGGAGGGUCCCAGCCACAGACCCGUUUGCCUCAGGGAGCCGAGCUCGUCUGGAUCCACCAUGGCCUGGGCCCCCCUGCUCCUCACCCUGCUCACCUACUGCUCGGGUUCUCUGGCCCAGUACGUGCUGACUCAGCCGCCCUCAGUGUCUGUGUCUCCAGGGCAAAACGCUCAACUCACCUGCUCAGGGAACAACCUUGGUAGCAAGUAUGUGCAGUGGUACCAACAGAAACCUGGCAGUGCCCCUCUACUCGUGAUAUAUGAUAAUAGCAACAGACCUUCUGGAAUCCCUAACCGAUUCUCUGGUGCCAAGUCCGGGAACACGGCCACGUUAACCAUCACUGGGGUGCAGGCGCAGGACGACGCUGAUUAUUACUGUCAGGUGUGGGACAGUGACAGUAGCUCUCACACAGUGACACAGCCUGAUGGGGAAGUGAGACACAAACUGCCUGUUGACAUGGUGGGGGUCAGUUAUUCUUUCUUCUGUGACUGCGUGUGGGGCUGGUGUCACAGUCCUUAG
Non-coding RNA from Pelodiscus sinensis (Chinese soft-shelled turtle), 518 nucleotides. NCBI's taxonomy places the organism in Eukaryota, Metazoa, Chordata, Testudines, Trionychidae. The record is from the annotation of a RefSeq genome assembly.